AGUGAACGCUGGCGGUAGGCCUAACACAUGCAAGUCGAACGGCAGCACAGUAAGAGCUUGCUCUUACGGGUGGCGAGUGGCGGACGGGUGAGGAAUACAUCGGAAUCUACUUUUUCGUGGGGGAUAACGUAGGGAAACUUACGCUAAUACCGCAUACGACCUACGGGUGAAAGCAGGGGAUCUUCGGACCUUGCGCGAUUGAAUGAGCCGAUGUCGGAUUAGCUAGUUGGCGGGGUAAAGGCCCACCAAGGCGACGAUCCGUAGCUGGUCUGAGCGGAUGAUCAGCCACACUGGAACUGAGACACGGUCCGGACUCCUACGGGAGGCAGCAGUGGGGAAUAUUGGACGAUGGGCGCAAGCCUGAUCCAGCCAUACCGCGUGGGUGAAGAAGGCCUUCGGGUUGUAAAGCCCUUUUGUUGGGAAAGAAAAGCAGCAGGUUAAUACCCCGCUGUUCUGACGGUACCCAAAGAAUAAGCACCGGCUAACUUCGUG
RNAcentral lists this ribosomal RNA (492 nucleotides) under uncultured bacterium. Its description in RNAcentral is "partial 16S ribosomal RNA". It matches the Rfam family "Bacterial small subunit ribosomal RNA", at positions 29 to 507 of the family's 1533-position model. The record is from RNAcentral.